RNAcentral lists this ribosomal RNA (465 nucleotides) under uncultured Klebsiella sp. RNAcentral's name for it is "bacterial SSU rRNA". It matches the Rfam family "Bacterial small subunit ribosomal RNA", at positions 338 to 795 of the family's 1533-position model. Lineage: Bacteria; Pseudomonadati; Pseudomonadota; Gammaproteobacteria; Enterobacterales; Enterobacteriaceae. The record is from RNAcentral.
CCUACGGGAGGCAGCAGUGGGGAAUAUUGCACAAUGGGCGCAAGCCUGAUGCAGCCAUGCCGCGUGUGUGAAGAAGGCCUUCGGGUUGUAAAGCACUUUCAGCGGGGAGGAAGGCGUUAAGGUUAAUAACCUUGUCGAUUGACGUUACCCGCAGAAGAAGCACCGGCUAACUCCGUGCCAGCAGCCGCGGUAAUACGGGGGGUGCAAGCGUUAAUCGGAAUUACUGGGCGUAAAGCGCACGCAGGGGGUCUGUCAAGUCGGAUGUGAAAUCCCCGGGCUCAACCUGGGAACUGCAUUCGAAACUGGCAGGCUAGAGUCUUGUAGAGGGGGGUAGAAUUCCAGGUGUAGCGGUGAAAUGCGUAGAGAUCUGGAGGAAUACCGGUGGCGAAGGCGGCCCCCUGGACAAAGACUGACGCUCAGGUGCGAAAGCGUGGGGAGCAAACAGGAUUAGAUACCCUGGUAGUC